GAUGAAGAACGUAGCAAAAUGCGAUAAGUAAUGUGAAUUGCAGAAUUCAGUGAAUCAUCGAAUCUUUGAACGCACAUUGCGCCCGCCAGUAUUCUGGCGGGCAUGCCUGUUCGAGCGUCAUUUCAACCCUCAAGCACAGCUUGGUGUUGGGACUCGCGUUAAUUCGCGUUCCCCAAAUUGAUUGGCGGCCACGUCGAGCUUCCAUAGCGUAGUAGUAAAACCCUCGUUACUGGUAAUCGUCGCGGCCACGCCGUUAAACCCCAACUUCUGAAUGUUGACCUCGGAUCAGGUAGGAAUACCCGCUGAACUUAAGCAUAUCAAUAAGCGGAGGA
This 332-nucleotide unclassified non-coding RNA is filed under the name soil metagenome. RNAcentral describes it as "partial contains 5.8S ribosomal RNA, internal transcribed spacer 2, and large subunit ribosomal RNA". The stretch from base 1 to 120 matches the Rfam family "5.8S ribosomal RNA", at positions 35 to 154 of the family's 154-position model. The record is from RNAcentral.